GACGAACGCUGGCGGCGUGCCUAAUACAUGCAAGUAGAACGCACAGUUUAUACCGUAGCUUGCUACACCAUAGACUGUGAGUUGCGAACGGGUGAGUAACGCGGAGGUAACCUGCCUGGUAGCGGGGGAUAACUAUUGGAAACGAUAGCUAAUACCGCAUAAUAUUAAUUAUUGCAUGAUAAUUUAUUGAAAGGUGCAAUUGCACCACUACCAGAUGGACCUGCGUUGUAUUAGCUAGUAGGUGAGGUAACGGCUCACCUAGGCGACGAUACAUAGCCGACCUGAGAGGGUGAUCGGCCACACUGGGACUGAGACACGGCCCAGAGGCCUACGGGAGGCAGCAGUAGGGAAUCUUCGGCAAUGGGCGAAAGUCUGAGCGAGCAACGCCGCGUGAGUGAAGAGGGUUUUCGGAUCGUAAAGCACUGUUGUAAGAGAAGAACGGGUGUGAGAGUGGAAAGUUCACACUGUGACGGUAUCUUACCAGAAAGGGACGGCUAACUACGUG
This 505-nucleotide ribosomal RNA is filed under the name uncultured bacterium. RNAcentral's name for it is "partial 16S ribosomal RNA". It matches the Rfam family "Bacterial small subunit ribosomal RNA", at positions 28 to 507 of the family's 1533-position model. The record is from RNAcentral.